UUUUAUAUCUUGGUCUUACAACUACAACAUAUUUUGUGUUGAAUUUGCCCAAUACGACUCGAUCAUCCAUUGGAUUUCUUGGCGCGUGAAUAUGGAUAAACAGGUAUAGUUCCAUGCACGAGGUAAUCCUUUCCCUUGGAAUAAGAGUCAAUUUA
Long non-coding RNA from Gordionus sp. m RMFG-2023, 155 nucleotides. RefSeq lists it as uncharacterized. The transcript is spliced from 3 exons. NCBI's taxonomy places the organism in Eukaryota, Metazoa, Nematomorpha, Gordioida, Chordodea, Parachordodidae. The record is from RefSeq and is a predicted model, not a curated record.